RNAcentral lists this ribosomal RNA (253 nucleotides) under uncultured bacterium. Its description in RNAcentral is "partial 16S ribosomal RNA". It matches the Rfam family "Bacterial small subunit ribosomal RNA", at positions 524 to 776 of the family's 1533-position model. The record is from RNAcentral.
UACGGAGGGUGCAAGCGUUAUCCGGAUUUACUGGGGUUAAAGGGUGUGUAGGCGGACUUUUAAGUCAGCGGUGAAAUCUCCGGGCUCAACCCGGAAACUGCCAUUGAUACUAUUGGUCUUGAAUGUUGUUGAGGUGGGCGGAACGGGUCAUGUAGCGGUGAAAUGCAUAGAUAUGACCCGGAACACCGAUUGCGUAGGCAGCCCACUAAGCAACGAUUGACGCUGAGGCACGAAAGCGUGGGGAUCAAACAGG